Molecule: long non-coding RNA, 3554 nt
Organism: Carcharodon carcharias (great white shark)
Lineage: Eukaryota; Metazoa; Chordata; Chondrichthyes; Lamniformes; Lamnidae
Exons: 7
Source: RefSeq, a predicted model, not a curated record
UUAGUGCAUGCAACAUCUAAAAGGAUCAAUUUAAUUCAUUCUGUAUUUCAUUUGUCAACAGCAAGAAACAUUAUGAAUGUUUGGAACUCUUCCGCAAACAGCAGCUGAUACUAGGAGAAACAUCUAUCACCAGCCAAAGGUGUACCUGAUCCGCUGGAUCCCAGGGACGGAGAUCCAGACGAGGAAUUCUACAAGGCUCAAAUCUUCAUGUUGUCAGAGUUCCAUAAAGAGAUCAGGUGUAAGGUGCAGAGUGGCUCAAGGCUCAUGGUGCCCAAGAUUGUGGACACCACUGUCGUUGACAACAGUAGCAAAGAUACACUCCUGGCAACCCUGGCAAGCACCAAGAGGGCACUUAAGAAUGCGCAGGCAGACAGGAAAGUGAAGUUUGUCCAAAUAAGGGAGGCCCAAGAGAAACAGCUUAAUCUGAUAAAGGAAGAGAGAAUCGCUGCAAUGGGACAUUUGGAUAAGGAUAAUAAAUCCAAGAAGAAGCAGCUGGAGGUGAAAACUUCCCAGAGCAGACUAUGCCUGGCCCAUUAGCCUGCGCCUUCCCAGUCCCAAGAGGAGAAAAUACCCAGGAGGCUCAAAGAAGAGAGGGCAGCCUUCCAGCAGAAGGUGGAGAAUCUGGACCAAAAGGUGGAGAAUCUGGAGGCUAUGAACCUCAAGUUACAGGAGGAAAUUGUUGAAUUGUCAAAAAUAGCAAGAAUGUUGGACAUGCUUAGGCGAGGUGAUAGGCCCCCAGCACCACGCAAGCAAAGAUGGCUGGACAUGCCUGCAUCCCCAGCACCACCCAGGCACAGUCAGCAAGUUCCUAAAUGGAGCACCAAGAAGCCAGCGAGCAGUUGCACACUACAAUUAAUGGCAAGGUAAAACUGCCAGAUGGUAUUGUGACACCGGAGAGAGUGUGGAAUAGGGCACAUAGCUAAGGAUGAAUUCAUUAUUCAUCAGGUCCUUGGCUGUUAACAUCUGGGGUCCGAUGAACUGAAGGGAACGUCAGUGUGUGGAAGACCGUGCCCACCGUUUGUGAACAUGGGAAGUACUGGGAAGUCUUUGCUCUCACCACAGAAGUUAAAUGUAUCAAAGCUAAUGCCACAUAAACCCUGUAUUUUCUUUUUGUGUGAUGCAAUGUCCCCUUAGUUAACUGAGAAGCACUGAACUAGGAUUAAUUGGUCUUCUGAUUAUGGUUAGGUUCCAAGAAAUGCCCAGAUGAAUUAGGGUUUCCAUGGAUGAACUGCUAAGAAGCAAUGGGUAAACAAAUGGGGCUGUUAAAAUUGUUUUAUUGCAGGCAGCAUAGAAGAUGCAAUUUCUCUCAGCAGGAGGUCAGCUUGGAGGCCUCUUGUCACCUGUUUUGUAAGACCCCAACUUUUAAUUUCAACCUUAAACUUUUUCUCUUUUUAGCAGCAUGUUUCACACGCCAACUCCAAACUCAGGGGCUGAGUGAGGAGGCUUUUAAGAAGAAGUUCAGAAAAAUGAAUAAUUACAUCACUGAGAAAAUUCUGAACCUCAAUUGGAGACAAAAUCCAGUGAACCAACUAACAUCUAAUGCCUAAGUUCUGUAUUUUGAUUAACAGCUGCAAUUUAACAUUUCCUCACUUUAUCUGUGUUUAACUGCUUUGGUUUCUGCAAUUUAUGUAUUUAACUGUUUAUUUCCCUCCUUACAGGGAAGUCAAGGAUGUAAGCAUCUCAGCGAAAAUUGGGAGGCUGAAAUCAGACGAACCAUCCUGCCUUACUAAUUUUAGCUGAUCUCAAAUGGAAUCAGUUGGGCCAGUAAAUUUAACCAGUCUAACCAACCUCAACUGGAACCAGCUCAACUGGCCAACUGAAACAAAUUCAGCUCACCAACUGGGAACAAUCCAACAGGCCAACUGGAACAAUCUCAGCAGCCCAACUAGGAUCAGGUCAGCUGGGACCAAUUCAUCUGGGCUGGCUGUCCCAAUUUCAACAACUAAUUUGGAUCAAUCCUUGUUCAAUUCUGCAGCAAGUGAGGCGGAGAGGCAGUUUUAAAGCUCUAGGAAAGCCAUUUGCUUCUCUCAAGCCAACAUGCCCAGCAUCGGGGCACUAAUCACUCAAAACCACCUCCUCUGAAAUACUUCAGAAAUGUCCUUAAAGCAUCCCUGAAGGUGUCAAACAUCUCAAUCAUGGUGACUGACCAAAAUGGGAGAAGGUUCAUUUGGGAGGGCACCCAACACAGAGGGACUUCAUCAGGCACAUGCAAAGGCAAAGUCAAGGCAACACACAGAGUGCAAAAAAUUCACCUGACACCUGACUAACCUUCCGGGCACCACCUGCCUGCAAGUGACCGAGUCUGCAGGUUGUACAUGCCAUCUCAGAACCCAUUGAACUGGAGUGGAAAUAAAUUAUCCUCAAUCCUGAGGGACUGCCUAAGAAGAAAGAAAGAUUGCUGAUAUUUCAUUUGAAUUUAUACAGUAUUUAUUUUAUAUUUGGUGAUUUAUUUUACUUUACACAUUUCAACUUGUACAUGGGAUUUUCCAGACUAGAAAUGUCCAAAGGAACCUAACUCUGGCUUCAACAUUGAUUCCUAUGAGAACCUUUGAUUCACUUAAAGUUUUUUCACUAAAAGUCGAGAUUUUAAGGAACACAACUUUAAGUGAUGCCUAACUGUAGAUUGUUGCUGGCUGGGGCAGAGAUAGAUAAUGUUACAAAGAUGGAAAUAAGUGCUUUUUUGAGAUGGCAAGGAUGUGGGAAACAAAGCUGUUUCAAGUAAAAUACGACACCAAGGUUGGGAGCAAUCAAUUUCAACUUGAUAUAAGGCCCAAGGAAGGGGAUGGUGUCUUCUGCAAGGGCACAGAAUUUGUUACAGGAGCUGAAGAUGAUGGUUUUGGUCUUUCCAAUGUUUAACUAGAGGAAAAUUGCAGCUCAGCCAAGAUCAGGUGUCAGACUAGCCAGCUGACAACAGAAGCAGCAGACGGUGGAUUGAUAAUGGGUGUCAUUAGCAUACCUGGGGAAUCCAAAGGUAUUUCUUUGGGUGAUUUUGCUGGGGGGUUGGUACUUGUACAUGAGGAAUAAGAGGGAGCCAAGCAUAGAUUCUUGAUGCACUUCAAUGAUGGUAUGGGGCAGAAAGUGCUAUUGCUGGACACUCUCUGGCUACAAUAGUUAGGAGCAAAACCAAGUGAGGGCAAUCUUUCUAAGUUGAUAUCAGAGGAGAGACGUUGGAUCAGGAUGGUGUCAAUAGCCAAGUCAAAGACUGCAACAAGGCCAAAAAAGGAUGGUGGGAUGUCACUAGGGUGUACGGAGGGGAGACGGUGGCAUAGUGGUAUUGUCACUGGACUGGUAAUCCAGAGACACAGAGUAAUGCUCUGGGGACCUGGGUUUGAAUCCCAUCAUGGCAGAUGGUGGAAUUUGAAUUCAAUAAAAAAUCUGGAAUUAAAAAUCUAAUAAUGACCAUGAAACCAUUGUUGAUUGUCAUAAAAACCUACCUGGUUCACUAGUGCCCUUUAGAGAAUGAAAUCUCACCUGGUUUGGCUUACAUGAUCCGCAGUAAUGCUGGCAUCAGGCCAAACAUGGAUUACCAAGUACCACCCCCACUCAGCUGAUGA